This 509-nucleotide ribosomal RNA is filed under the name Candovia sp. F AC-2020. RNAcentral's name for it is "partial large subunit ribosomal RNA". The stretch from base 384 to 509 matches the Rfam family "Bacterial large subunit ribosomal RNA", at positions 2473 to 2599 of the family's 2925-position model. The record is from RNAcentral. Lineage: Eukaryota; Metazoa; Arthropoda; Insecta; Phasmatodea; Lonchodidae.
CAUCUUUUCUAGAUUUUAUUUGAGAUCUGACCUGCCCUAUGAUUUAUUUAAAUGGCCGCGGUAUAUUGACCGUGCAAAGGUAGCAUAAUCAUUAGUUUAUUAAUUGUAGACUUGUAUGAAUGGUUGGACGAAAUAUUUUCUGUCUCAUAUUUAUAUUUAAAACUUAAAUUUUGAGUUAAAAUGCUUAAAUUUUUUUAUAGGACGAGAAGACCCUAUAGAUCUUUAUUUUUAAAUUAUUUAUAUUUUUUUGUUUAUUUUUUUAUAAAUUUUUUAUUUAUUUUGUUGGGGUGACAUUAAUAUAUAAUUAACUAUUUAUUUUAUUUAUUCAAUUAUUUUUGUAUAUUUGACCUUUUAUUAUUGUUAUAAGAUUUAGAUACCUUAGGGAUAACAGCGUAAUUCUUUUUGAGAGUUCUUAUCGACGAAAGAGAUUGCGACCUCGAUGUUGGAUUAAGAUUAUAUUUAGGUGUAGGUGCUUAAUUAUUAAGUCUGUUCGACUUUUAAAUUCUUAC